CCUACGGGAGGCAGCAGUGAGGAAUAUUGCGCAAUGGGGGAAACCCUGACGCAGCGACGCCGUGUGGGUGAGGAAGGCUUUCGGGUCGUAAAGCCCUGUCAGGUGGGAAGAAAUGGCUAGUAGCUAAUACCUAUUAGUUUUGACGGUACCACCAAAGGAAGCACCGGCUAACUCCGUGCCAGCAGCCGCGGUAAU
Molecule: ribosomal RNA, 195 nt
Filed under: uncultured bacterium
Lineage: Bacteria
Description: partial 16S ribosomal RNA
Rfam family: Bacterial small subunit ribosomal RNA
Source: RNAcentral